UACGAAGGGGGCAAGUGUUAUCCGGAAUCACUGGGCGUAAAGCGUCUGUAGGUGGUUUAAUAAGUCAACUGUUAAAUCUUGAGGCUCAACCUCGAAAUCGCAGUCGAAACUAUUAGACUAGAGUAUAGUAGGGGUAAAGGGAAUUUCCAGUGGAGCGGUGAAAUGCGUAGAUAUUGGAAAGAACACCGAUGGCGAAGGCACUUUACUGGGCUAUUACUAACACUGAGAGACGAAAGCUAGGGUAGCAAAUGGG
This 253-nucleotide ribosomal RNA is filed under the name uncultured bacterium. Its description in RNAcentral is "partial 16S ribosomal RNA". It matches the Rfam family "Bacterial small subunit ribosomal RNA", at positions 524 to 776 of the family's 1533-position model. The record is from RNAcentral.